RNAcentral lists this ribosomal RNA (598 nucleotides) under uncultured bacterium. Its description in RNAcentral is "bacterial SSU rRNA". It matches the Rfam family "Bacterial small subunit ribosomal RNA", at positions 112 to 704 of the family's 1533-position model. The record is from RNAcentral.
AAUGUAUCGGAACGUGCCCAGUUGUGGGGGAUAACUGCUCGAAAGAGCAGCUAAUACCGCAUACGACCUGAGGGUGAAAGCGGGGGAUCGCAAGACCUCGCGCAAUUGGAGCGGCCGAUAUCAGAUUAGGUAGUUGGUGGGGUAAAGGCCCACCAAGCCAACGAUCUGUAGCUGGUCUGAGAGGACGACCAGCCACACUGGGACUGAGACACGGCCCAGACUCCUACGGGAGGCAGCAGUGGGGAAUUUUGGACAAUGGACGCAAGUCUGAUCCAGCCAUGCCGCGUGCGGGAAGAAGGCCUUCGGGUUGUAAACCGCUUUUGUCAGGGAAGAAAAGGGCGACUCUAAUACAGUUGCCUCAUGACGGUACCUGAAGAAUAAGCACCGGCUAACUACGUGCCAGCAGCCGCGGUAAUACGUAGGGUGCAAGCGUUAAUCGGAAUUACUGGGCGUAAAGCGUGCGCAGGCGGUUAUGCAAGACAGAUGUGAAAUCCCCGGGCUCAACCUGGGAACUGCAUUUGUGACUGCAUGGCUAGAGUACGGUAGAGGGGGGGAUGGAAUUCCGCGUGUAGCAGUGAAAUGCGUAGAUAUGCGGAGG